GCUGAGAGUUUGGAACCUGGCUCAGGAUGAACGCUGGCGGCGUGCUUAACACAUGCAAGUCGAACGGUGAAGCCCAGCUUGCUGGGUGGAUCAGUGGCGAACGGGUGAGUAACACGUGAGCAACCUGCCCCUGACUCUGGGAUAAGCGCUGGAAACGGCGUCUAAUACUGGAUACGAACCGCGACCGCAUGGUCAGUGGUUGGAAAGAAUUUCGGUUGGGGAUGGGCUCGCGGCCUAUCAGCUUGUUGGUGAGGUAAUGGCUCACCAAGGCGUCGACGGGUAGCCGGCCUGAGAGGGUGACCGGCCACACUGGGACUGAGACACGGCCCAGACUCCUACGGGAGGCAGCAGUGGGGAAUAUUGCACAAUGGGCGCAAGCCUGAUGCAGCAACGCCGCGUGAGGGAUGACGGCCUUCGGGUUGUAAACCUCUUUUAGCAGGGAAGAAGCGAAAGUGACGGUACCUGCAGAAAAAGCGCCGGCUAACUACGUGCCAGCAGCCGCGGUAAUACGUAGGGCGCAAGCGUUAUCCGGGAAUUAUUGGGCGUAAAGAGCUCGUAGGCGGUUUGUCGCGUCUGCUGUGAAAUCCCGAGGCUCAACCUCGGGCCUGCAGUGGGUACGGGCAGACUAGAGUGCGGUAGGGGAGAUUGGAAUUCCUGGUGUAGCGGUGGAAUGCGCAGAUAUCAGGAGGAACACCGAUGGCGAAAGCAGAUCUCUGGGCCGUAACUGACGCUGAGGAGCGAAAGGGUGGGGAGCAAACAGGCUUAGAUACCCUGGUAGUCCACCCCGUAAACGUUGGGAACUAGUUGUGGGGUCCAUUCCACGGAUUCCGUGACGCAGCUAACGCAUUAAGUUCCCCGCCUGGGGAGUACGGCCGCAAGGCUAAAACUCAAAGGAAUUGACGGGGACCCGCACAAGCGGCGGAGCAUGCGGAUUAAUUCGAUGCAACGCGAAGAACCUUACCAAGGCUUGACAUAUACGAGAACGGGCCAGAAAUGGUCAACUCUUUGGACACUCGUAAACAGGUGGUGCAUGGUUGUCGUCAGCUCGUGUCGUGAGAUGUUGGGUUAAGUCCCGCAACGAGCGCAACCCUCGUUCUAUGUUGCCAGCACGUAAUGGUGGGAACUCAUGGGAUACUGCCGGGGUCAACUCGGAGGAAGGUGGGGAUGACGUCAAAUCAUCAUGCCCCUUAUGUCUUGGGCUUCACGCAUGCUACAAUGGCCGGUACAAAGGGCUGCAAUACCGCGAGGUGGAGCGAAUCCCAAAAAGCCGGUCCCAGUUCGGAUUGAGGUCUGCAACUCGACCUCAUGAAGUCGGAGUCGCUAGUAAUCGCAGAUCA
Molecule: ribosomal RNA, 1337 nt
Filed under: Microbacterium phyllosphaerae
Lineage: Bacteria; Bacillati; Actinomycetota; Actinomycetes; Micrococcales; Microbacteriaceae
Description: bacterial SSU rRNA
Rfam family: Bacterial small subunit ribosomal RNA
Source: RNAcentral